Molecule: ribosomal RNA, 581 nt
Filed under: uncultured yard-trimming-compost bacterium
Lineage: Bacteria
Description: bacterial SSU rRNA
Rfam family: Bacterial small subunit ribosomal RNA
Source: RNAcentral
AUGCAAGUCGAGCGACGGACCUUCGGGUUACGGAGCGGCGAACGGGUGAGUAACACGUGAACAACCUACCCUCUCAUUCCGGAUAAUUGGCUGAAAAGCCUUGUAAUACGGGGGAGGUUCCAACUUGGGCAUCCUUGAUGGAACGAACAGGUAACUGGUGCGAGGAGGGGUUCGCGGAUUAUCAGCUAGUUGGUGAGGUAAUGGCCCACCAAGGCUACGACGAUUAGCUGGUCUGAGAGGAUGGUCAGCCACAUUGGAACUGAGAUACUGUCCAGACUCCUACGGGAGGCUGCAGUCGAGAAUCUUGGGCAAUGCACGAAAGUGUGACCCAGCGACGCCGCGUGGAGGAUGAAGGCCCUCUGGGUUGUAAACUCCUUUUACGGGAGAAGAAUCAAUGACGGUACCCCGUGAAUAAGCCACGGCUAACUACGUACCAGCAGCCGCGGUAAUACGUAGGUGGCAAGCCUUGUCCGGAUUUACUGGGCGUAAAGCGAACGCAGGCGGACUGUUAAGUAGGAAGUGAAAGGUCGGAGCUCAACUCCAACAUUGCUUCCUAUACUGGCAGUCUUGAGUAGCGGAGA